GACGAACGCUGGCGGCGUGCUUAACACAUGCAAGUCGAAACGGAAAGGCCCUGCUUUUGUGGGGUGCUCGAGUGGCGAACGGGUGAGUAACACGUGAGUAACCUGCCCUUGACUUUGGGAUAACUUCAGGAAACUGGGGCUAAUACCGGAUAGGAGCUCCUGCUGCAUGGUGGGGGUUGGAAAGUUUCGGCGGUUGGGGAUGGACUCGCGGCUUAUCAGCUUGUUGGUGGGGUAGUGGCUUACCAAGGCUUUGACGGGUAGCCGGCCUGAGAGGGUGACCGGCCACAUUGGGACUGAGAUACGGCCCAGACUCCUACGGGAGGCAGCAGUGGGGAAUAUUGCACAAUGGGCGGAAGCCUGAUGCAGCAACGCCGCGUGCGGGAUGACGGCCUUCGGGUUGUAAACCGCUUUCGCCUGUGACGAAGCGUGAGUGACGGUAAUGGGUAAAGAAGCACCGGCUAACUACGUG
This 469-nucleotide ribosomal RNA is filed under the name uncultured bacterium. RNAcentral describes it as "partial 16S ribosomal RNA". It matches the Rfam family "Bacterial small subunit ribosomal RNA", at positions 28 to 507 of the family's 1533-position model. The record is from RNAcentral.